RNAcentral lists this ribosomal RNA (775 nucleotides) under uncultured Neocallimastigales. RNAcentral's name for it is "partial large subunit ribosomal RNA". It matches the Rfam family "Eukaryotic large subunit ribosomal RNA", at positions 24 to 637 of the family's 3401-position model. Lineage: Eukaryota; Fungi; Neocallimastigomycota; Neocallimastigomycetes; Neocallimastigales. The record is from RNAcentral.
AUAUCUCUGUAGAGUCUGCAUAUCAAUAAGCGGAGGAAAAGAAACUAACUAGGAUUCCCUCAGUAACGGCGAGUGAAGCGGGAAGAGCUCAAAUUUGAAAUCUUAAAGGGUUUACCUUGACGAAUUGUAGUUUAAAGAAGUGUUUUCUGUUGAGGUUUUGGUAAAAGUUCUUUGGAAUAGGACAUCAUAGAGGGUGAGAAUCCCGUAUUUGACCUUUACUUUCAACUUUGUGAUACACUUUCAAAGAGUCGGAUUGUUUGGGAAUGCAGUCCAAAAUGGGUGGUAAAUUUCAUCUAAAGCUAAAUAUUGGCGAGAGACCGAUAGCGAACAAGUACCGUGAGGGAAAGAUGAAAAGAACUUUGAAAAGAGAGUUAAACAGUACGUGAAAUUGUCAAAAGGGAAGCGUUUGACACCAGUGUUGUUUUUCUGAAAAUCAAUUAAAGAACUGUUUAUGCUAAGUCGUUUAGACUUUAUCAGCUAACUGUUUAGUUUUGAGCUUUUCUUUAAUGCACUUUUCAGUUAACAAGUCAACAUCAAUUUCUUUUGCUGUAAAAAAGCUUGAGGAAGGUGGCUUGAGAUUCGUCUUAAGUGUUUAUAGCCUCUUGCCUAUGCAGUCGGAGAGAUUGAGGUCUGCAGCGUAGAUCCUUCGGGGCUAAAUGCAUUUGUGCUAAGUUAUAGCAUUUUAUAGACAACUUGUUGACUAUGAUUUGUCUUGUAGCUUACUCGCUUAUGUUAUUUUACCUACGCUUAGGAUGUUGACGAUCAGCUGAGCGCG